GCCAGGUGCAGUAGCACACACCUGUAAUCCCAGCAACUCAGGAGGCUGAGACAGGAGGAUCUCAAGUUCCAGGCUAGCUUGGGCAACUUAGUAAGACCCUGUCUCAG
This 107-nucleotide small RNA is filed under the name Marmota monax (woodchuck). The record is from RNAcentral. Lineage: Eukaryota; Metazoa; Chordata; Mammalia; Rodentia; Sciuridae.